GACGAACGCUGGCGGCGUGCUUAACACAUGCAAGUCGAACGGAAAGGCCCUGCUUUUGUGGGGUGCUCGAGUGGCGAACGGGUGAGUAACACGUGAGUAACCUGCCCUUGACUUUGGGAUAACUUCAGGAAACUGGGGCUAAUACCGGAUAGGAGCUCCUGCUGCAUGGUGGGGGUUGGAAAGUUUCGGCGGUUGGGGAUGGACUCGCGGGUUAUCAGCUUGUUGGUGGGGUAGUGGUUGACCAAGGCUUUGACGGGUAGCCGGCCUGAGAGGGUGACCGGCCUCAUUGGGACUGAGAUACGGACCAGACUCCUACGGGAGGCAGCAGUGGGGAAUAUUGCACAAUGGGCGGAAGCCUGAUGCAGCGACGCCGCGUGCGGGAUGACGGCCUUCGGGUUGUAAACCGAUUUCGCCUGUGACGAAGCGUGAGUGACGGUAAUGGGUAAAGAAGCACCGGCUAACUACGUG
RNAcentral lists this ribosomal RNA (468 nucleotides) under uncultured bacterium. RNAcentral's name for it is "partial 16S ribosomal RNA". It matches the Rfam family "Bacterial small subunit ribosomal RNA", at positions 28 to 507 of the family's 1533-position model. The record is from RNAcentral.